CAAUAGCGUAUAUUAAAGUUGUUGCGGUUAAAAAGCUCGUAGUUGGAUUUCUGCUGAGGACGAUCGGUCCGCCCACUGGGUGAGUAUCUGGCUCGGCCUUGGCAUCUUCUUGGAGAACGUUGCUGCACUUGACUGUGUGGUGCGGUAUCCAGGACUUUUACUUUGAGGAAAUUAGAGUGUUUCAAGCAGGCGCACGCCUUGAAUACAUUAGCAUGGAAUAAUAAGAUAGGACCUUGGUUCUAUUUUGUCGGUUUCUAGAGCUGAGGUAAUGAUUAAUAGGGAUAGUUGGGGGCAUUCGUAUUUAACUGUCAGAGGUGAAAUUCUUGGAUUUGUUAAAGACGGACUACUGCGAAANCNUUUGCCNAGGAUGUUUUNAUUGA
Molecule: ribosomal RNA, 380 nt
Filed under: uncultured eukaryote
Lineage: Eukaryota
Description: partial 18S ribosomal RNA
Rfam family: Eukaryotic small subunit ribosomal RNA
Source: RNAcentral